UAGACGGUACGGACUUAAAAUCCGUCGACUUUAGAAAUCGUGAGGGUUCAAGUCCCUCUAUCCCCA
RNAcentral lists this transfer RNA (66 nucleotides) under Senegalia glomerosa. RNAcentral describes it as "partial tRNA-Leu". It matches the Rfam family "tRNA", at positions 19 to 71 of the family's 71-position model. Rfam says of the family: Transfer RNA (tRNA) molecules are approximately 80 nucleotides in length. Their secondary structure includes four short double-helical elements and three loops (D, anti-codon, and T loops). Further hydrogen bonds mediate the characteristic L-shaped molecular structure. tRNAs have two regions of fundamental functional importance: the anti-codon, which is responsible for specific mRNA codon recognition, and the 3' end, to which the tRNAs corresponding amino acid is attached (by aminoacyl-tRNA synthetases). tRNAs cope with the degeneracy of the genetic code in two manners: having more than one tRNA (with a specific anti-codon) for a particular amino acid; and 'wobble' base-pairing, i.e. permitting non-standard base-pairing at the 3rd anti-codon position. The record is from RNAcentral. Lineage: Eukaryota; Viridiplantae; Streptophyta; Magnoliopsida; Fabales; Fabaceae.